Molecule: ribosomal RNA, 2761 nt
Filed under: Enterobacter cloacae
Lineage: Bacteria; Pseudomonadati; Pseudomonadota; Gammaproteobacteria; Enterobacterales; Enterobacteriaceae
Also listed under: 1 other name
Description: bacterial LSU rRNA
Rfam family: Bacterial large subunit ribosomal RNA
Source: RNAcentral
CUAUCGUUAACUGAAUACAUAGGUUAACGAGGCGAACCGGGGGAACUGAAACAUCUAAGUACCCCGAGGAAAAGAAAUCAACCGAGAUUCCCCCAGUAGCGGCGAGCGAACGGGGAGCAGCCCGGAGUCUGAAUCAGCUUGUGUGUUAGUGGAACGGUCUGGAAAGUCCGACGGUACAGGGUGAUAGUCCCGUACACGAAAGCACACUUGCUGUGAACUCGAAGAGUAGGGCGGGACACGUGGUAUCCUGUCUGAAUAUGGGGGGACCAUCCUCCAAGGCUAAAUACUCCUGACUGACCGAUAGUGAACCAGUACCGUGAGGGAAAGGCGAAAAGAACCCCGGCGAGGGGAGUGAAAAAGAACCUGAAACCGUGUACGUACAAGCAGUGGGAGCCUCUUUAUGGGGUGACUGCGUACCUUUUGUAUAAUGGGUCAGCGACUUAUAUUCUGUAGCAAGGUUAACCGUAUAGGGGAGCCGAAGGGAAACCGAGUCUUAACUGGGCGUUAAGUUGCAGGGUAUAGACCCGAAACCCGGUGAUCUAGCCAUGGGCAGGUUGAAGGUUGGGUAACACUAACUGGAGGACCGAACCGACUAAUGUUGAAAAAUUAGCGGAUGACCUGUGGCUGGGGGUGAAAGGCCAAUCAAACCGGGAGAUAGCUGGUUCUCCCCGAAAGCUAUUUAGGUAGCGCCUCGUGAACUCAUCUUCGGGGGUAGAGCACUGUUUCGGCUAGGGGGCCAUCCCGGCUUACCAACCCGAUGCAAACUACGAAUACCGAAGAAUGUUAUCACGGGAGACACACGGCGGGUGCUAACGUCCGUCGUGAAGAGGGAAACAACCCAGACCGCCAGCUAAGGUCCCAAAGUCAUGGUUAAGUGGGAAACGAUGUGGGAAGGCACAGACAGCCAGGAUGUUGGCUUAGAAGCAGCCAUCAUUUAAAGAAAGCGUAAUAGCUCACUGGUCGAGUCGGCCUGCGCGGAAGAUGUAACGGGGCUAAACCAUGCACCGAAGCUGCGGCAGCGACGCUUAUGCGUUGUUGGGUAGGGGAGCGUUCUGUAAGCCGUUGAAGGUGUCCUGUGAGGGGUGCUGGAGGUAUCAGAAGUGCGAAUGCUGACAUAAGUAACGAUAAAGCGGGUGAAAAGCCCGCUCGCCGGAAGACCAAGGGUUCCUGUCCAACGUUAAUCGGGGCAGGGUGAGUCGACCCCUAAGGCGAGGCCGAAAGGCGUAGUCGAUGGGAAACAGGUUAAUAUUCCUGUACUUGGUGUUACUGCGAAGGGGGGACGGAGAAGGCUAUGUCAGCCGGGCGACGGUUGUCCCGGUUUAAGCAUGUAGGCGGAGGUUCCAGGUAAAUCCGGUACCUUGUUAACGCUGAGGUGUGAUGACGAGGCACUACGGUGCUGAAGUGAUAAAUGCCCUGCUUCCAGGAAAAGCCUCUAAGCAUCAGGUAACACGAAAUCGUACCCCAAACCGACACAGGUGGUCAGGUAGAGAAUACCAAGGCGCUUGAGAGAACUCGGGUGAAGGAACUAGGCAAAAUGGUGCCGUAACUUCGGGAGAAGGCACGCUGAUAUGUAGGUGAAGUCCCUGCGGACGGAGCUGAAAUCAGUCGAAGAUACCAGCUGGCUGCAACUGUUUAUUAAAAACACAGCACUGUGCAAACACGAAAGUGGACGUAUACGGUGUGACGCCUGCCCGGUGCCGGAAGGUUAAUUGAUGGGGUUAGCGGCAACGCGAAGCUCUUGAUCGAAGCCCCGGUAAACGGCGGCCGUAACUAUAACGGUCCUAAGGUAGCGAAAUUCCUUGUCGGGUAAGUUCCGACCUGCACGAAUGGCGUAAUGAUGGCCAGGCUGUCUCCACCCGAGACUCAGUGAAAUUGAACUCGCUGUGAAGAUGCAGUGUACCCGCGGCAAGACGGAAAGACCCCGUGAACCUUUACUAUAGCUUGACACUGAACACUGGUCCUUGAUGUGUAGGAUAGGUGGGAGGCUUUGAAGCGUGGACGCCAGUCUGCGUGGAGCCAACCUUGAAAUACCACCCUUUAAUGGCUGGUGUUCUAACGUAGACCCGUGAUCCGGGUUGCGGACAGUGUCUGGUGGGUAGUUUGACUGGGGCGGUCUCCUCCCAAAGAGUAACGGAGGAGCACGAAGGUUGGCUAAUCCUGGUCGGACAUCAGGAGGUUAGUGCAAUGGCAUAAGCCAGCUUGACUGCGAGCGUGACGGCGCGAGCAGGUGCGAAAGCAGGUCAUAGUGAUCCGGUGGUUCUGAAUGGAAGGGCCAUCGCUCAACGGAUAAAAGGUACUCCGGGGAUAACAGGCUGAUACCGCCCAAGAGUUCAUAUCGACGGCGGUGUUUGGCACCUCGAUGUCGGCUCAUCACAUCCUGGGGCUGAAGUAGGUCCCAAGGGUAUGGCUGUUCGCCAUUUAAAGUGGUACGCGAGCUGGGUUUAGAACGUCGUGAGACAGUUCGGUCCCUAUCUGCCGUGGGCGCUGGAGAAUUGAGGGGGGCUGCUCCUAGUACGAGAGGACCGGAGUGGACGCAUCACUGGUGUUCGGGUUGUCAUGCCAAUGGCACUGCCCGGUAGCUAAAUGCGGAAAAGAUAAGUGCUGAAAGCAUCUAAGCACGAAACUUGCCCCGAGAUGAGUUCUCCCUGAGACUUUAAGUCUCCUGAAGGAACGUUGAAGACGACGACGUUGAUAGGUCGGGUGUGUAAGCGCAGCGAUGCGUUGAGCUAACCGAUACUAAUGAACCGUGAGGCUUAACCUU